Molecule: long non-coding RNA, 394 nt
Organism: Physeter macrocephalus (sperm whale)
Lineage: Eukaryota; Metazoa; Chordata; Mammalia; Artiodactyla; Physeteridae
Exons: 4
Source: RefSeq, a predicted model, not a curated record
GUUGGGAAAAGCUGUAACUACAGACUAGUAGGAAGAAGGUGAGAAGGUAAAAAGGAGGAACCUUGAAGUCAAUCGUAUAUUUUGCUCCUUCCCAACGAGACCUGCGGCUCCACUCAGACGUGGAUUUCUUCCUAGCCCCAAAGUGUGCGAUUUUCAUUCAUGUCUUUAAAAACCCCCAUAGGAAUAUGCUCCCCUCUCCCUUCUGAUAAUUCCUAUAAUUCCCAUUUUAUACUGAGCAAGUAGCUGAAUUGAGAAGGAGAGAAAAAGAGAGGCGGUGUCCUCGCCUAGUUCUGGUCACGAGCUAAAGUCACCCCUCCGCCUCCUUCACCACAUGGGUUGCUACUUUGGCCUCUGAGCGCCCCCCCAGGCUCUCUCCUAGACUCUUCAAAUCAUG